RNAcentral lists this ribosomal RNA (677 nucleotides) under Thinophilus nitens. RNAcentral's name for it is "bacterial SSU rRNA". It matches the Rfam family "Eukaryotic small subunit ribosomal RNA", at positions 545 to 1152 of the family's 1831-position model. Lineage: Eukaryota; Metazoa; Arthropoda; Insecta; Diptera; Dolichopodidae. The record is from RNAcentral.
CUAUUGGAGGGCAAGUCUGGUGCCAGCAGCCGCGGUAAUUCCAGCUCCAAUAGCGUAUAUUAAAAUUGUUGCGGUUAAAACGUUCGUAGUUGAACUUGUGCUUCAUACGGGUAGUAUGCCUAAAAUUUGGGUUUAUACGUUACCUAUUGUAUGCUAAGCGUAUUACUGGUGGAUGUUUGUAUAUUGUAUGUAUACAAUAUAUGUAUUAAUAUAUUUCUCCUAUUAAACCUGACUCAAUGCUCUUCACCGAGUGUUGUUUUGGGCCAGUACUGUUACUUUGAACAAAUUAGAGUGCUUAAAGCAGGCUCUUAAUGCCUGAAUAUUCUGUGCAUGGAAUAAUGGAAGAAGACCUCUGUUCUAAUUUCAUUGGUUUUUAGAUCAAGAGGUAAUGAUUAAUAGAAGCAGUUGGGGGCAUUAGUAUUACGACGCGAGAGGUGAAAUUCUUGGACCGUCGUAAGACUAACUUAAGCGAAAGCAUUUGCCAAAGAUGUUUUCAUUAAUCAAGAACGAAAGUUAGAGGUUCGAAGGCGAUCAGAUACCGCCCUAGUUCUAACCAUAAACGAUGCCAACCAGCAAUUGGGUGUAGCUACUACUAUGGCUCUCUCAGUCGCUUCCCGGGAAACCAAAGUUUUUGGGCUCCGGGGGAAGUAUGGUUGCAAAGCUGAAACUUAAAGGAA